This 1554-nucleotide ribosomal RNA is filed under the name Escherichia coli. Its description in RNAcentral is "bacterial SSU rRNA". It matches the Rfam family "Bacterial small subunit ribosomal RNA". Lineage: Bacteria; Pseudomonadati; Pseudomonadota; Gammaproteobacteria; Enterobacterales; Enterobacteriaceae. The record is from RNAcentral.
AAAUUGAAGAGUUUGAUCAUGGCUCAGAUUGAACGCUGGCGGCAGGCCUAACACAUGCAAGUCGAACGGUAACAGGAAACAGCUUGCUGUUUCGCUGACGAGUGGCGGACGGGUGAGUAAUGUCUGGGAAACUGCCUGAUGGAGGGGGAUAACUACUGGAAACGGUAGCUAAUACCGCAUAACGUCGCAAGACCAAAGAGGGGGACCUUCGGGCCUCUUGCCAUCGGAUGUGCCCAGAUGGGAUUAGCUAGUAGGUGGGGUAACGGCUCACCUAGGCGACGAUCCCUAGCUGGUCUGAGAGGAUGACCAGCCACACUGGAACUGAGACACGGUCCAGACUCCUACGGGAGGCAGCAGUGGGGAAUAUUGCACAAUGGGCGCAAGCCUGAUGCAGCCAUGCCGCGUGUAUGAAGAAGGCCUUCGGGUUGUAAAGUACUUUCAGCGGGGAGGAAGGGAGUAAAGUUAAUACCUUUGCUCAUUGACGUUACCCGCAGAAGAAGCACCGGCUAACUCCGUGCCAGCAGCCGCGGUAAUACGGAGGGUGCAAGCGUUAAUCGGAAUUACUGGGCGUAAAGCGCACGCAGGCGGUUUGUUAAGUCAGAUGUGAAAUCCCCGGGCUCAACCUGGGAACUGCAUCUGAUACUGGCAAGCUUGAGUCUCGUAGAGGGGGGUAGAAUUCCAGGUGUAGCGGUGAAAUGCGUAGAGAUCUGGAGGAAUACCGGUGGCGAAGGCGGCCCCCUGGACGAAGACUGACGCUCAGGUGCGAAAGCGUGGGGAGCAAACAGGAUUAGAUACCCUGGUAGUCCACGCCGUAAACGAUGUCGACUUGGAGGUUGUGCCCUUGAGGCGUGGCUUCCGGAGCUAACGCGUUAAGUCGACCGCCUGGGGAGUACGGCCGCAAGGUUAAAACUCAAAUGAAUUGACGGGGGCCCGCACAAGCGGUGGAGCAUGUGGUUUAAUUCGAUGCAACGCGAAGAACCUUACCUGGUCUUGACAUCCACAGAACCCUGUAGAGAUACGGGGGUGCCUUCGGGAACUGUGAGACAGGUGCUGCAUGGCUGUCGUCAGCUCGUGUUGUGAAAUGUUGGGUUAAGUCCCGCAACGAGCGCAACCCUUAUCCUUUGUUGCCAGCGGUCCGGCCGGGAACUCAAAGGAGACUGCCAGUGAUAAACUGGAGGAAGGUGGGGAUGACGUCAAGUCAUCAUGGCCCUUACGACCAGGGCUACACACGUGCUACAAUGGCGCAUACAAAGAGAAGCGACCUCGCGAGAGCAAGCGGACCUCAUAAAGUGCGUCGUAGUCCGGAUUGGAGUCUGCAACUCGACUCCAUGAAGUCGGAAUCGCUAGUAAUCGUGGAUCAGAAUGCCACGGUGAAUACGUUCCCGGGCCUUGUACACACCGCCCGUCACACCAUGGGAGUGGGUUGCAAAAGAAGUAGGUAGCUUAACCUUCGGGAGGGCGCUUACCACUUUGUGAUUCAUGACUGGGGUGAAGUCGUAACAAGGUAACCGUAGGGGAACCUGCGGUUGGAUCACCUCCUUACCUUAAAGAAGC